Long non-coding RNA from Cyprinus carpio carpio, 1634 nucleotides. The record is from Ensembl. Lineage: Eukaryota; Metazoa; Chordata; Actinopteri; Cypriniformes; Cyprinidae.
AUGGCGUGUAAAAGAAACCUGAGUUUUACUACUCCCGUGAGUAAUAGGGCUUUGCAACCAGCAGCAAGCCCACUGAGCAUAAAUUAUUUAAUGAAACAGCUGAUAUCCGGUCAGAACGCUUUGCCUCGUCAGCUUGAGGGUUUGAUGGAGAAGCAAGCUGCAAACACUGUUCUUCUCGAAGAUGCUAUCCAGCGUCUUUGUGCUCUUGAGCGAAAGUUUGACGAGCAAAGACUGCAAGAGGAACAAAGACCACGGGAAGAGCCAUUACAUAAAAGGAUAAAGAGGGCGCACAACGUGGGCAUUGCGGAAGCUGUAAGGCGCCUUCACAAUUCGGAAAACAACCCACAUAAAUAUGAUCCACAAACUGGAAUAAGUUCGCCUCGUAACCAAGCAGUCAUGACUUAUCUGCUAGAGGAAUUGAAAACAACUUUUGCAGAUGCAGACCCUGAGUGUAUACAAGGUAAUUUUAAAAUGUUUGUUUAACAAUUUUAAUGUCUAUAAUUUUAGUCUCUUAUAUUUUGUCCAUCUUAUGAUUUCAAUAGUGUAGUUUCCGUCACUUAUCUGAAUUUUCUUUUAUUCAGCGUGUUGCAAGACAUACUUUGAAACACUUUGGAGAAAGUACAAUUUGUCUCAGCCAGAAAAGUCCCAGCUAAGAGAUGCCAUUAAAACAUGAGCUAAAAACCGACAAAGGAAAAGACGGGUAAGUGUAGAAAUUCAUCAUCUUGUCUUUAAAGGGAUAGUUCACCCCAAAUUGAAAAUUCUGUUAUUUUCUUCUGAUAACCACAAAAGAAAAUAUUUUUAGGAAUGUUUGAAAUCAAACUGAUCAUGAGCUCCAAUCACUUCCAUAGUAUUUUUUUUUUCUACUUUAAAGUCAAUGGGGCUCAUGAUUGGUUGGAUUAUAAACAUUCCAUCUAAUGUGGUUAUCAGAACCAAGACAUUUACAGGUUUGUAACAACAUGAAAGUGAGUACAUUGACAGAAUUUUCAUUUUUGAGUGAACUAUUCCUUUAAGUUUGAUACAUUUUUGGGUGUUUUUAGUGGUUAACACAUUGUGUGUUUUGCAGUUGCUGGAUUCCAGGUCCAAGGUUGUUCAAACCGAUGCAGAGAGAGAGCUUUGGCAGACUGCAACAGUGGAGCUGAUGUCUGACGAGGAGGAUGCCAUUGUUGAUGGAAGGCCAGUGUGGAUUGUGAGGUCUCCAUCUCACAGGAACCCACAAUUGUCAGAACUUUGUGAGGAGCUUCAGCGCAGAUUGGAGGCAGACAUGCGCUACACUAUUUUGCAUCAUCAGCGUGUUAAGGCUGAUGGAAAUGGACAUGGACAUGAUGGACCUUCCUUUCUUCAACUUUAACUAAACUGCACUGGUUUUGCAAUUUUAAUAAUUGCACCACAAACUGCACAUUUUCACUUAUUCUCUUCUAUUUUAUCUUAUUCUUUGUAUACUUAUUAGGUUAGAUUUAUUUAGUUUUAUAUUCUCUAACUGUUAUAAUAUUGCUUGUGUUUAGUAAAAUUUUAUAAAAGUACUUUGCUUUGUGUACAUAUUAUUUUGUUUUAUAUUUUGUAACUGUUAUAAUAUUGCUUGUGUUUGGUUAAAUUUUUAUAAAAGUACUUUUUUUCCCCUGUACAGUUCCUAUAGU